UGGGGAAUAUUGGACAAUGGGGGCAACCCUGAUCCAGCCAUGCCGCGUGUGUGAAGAAGGCCUUUUGGUUGUAAAGCACUUUAAGCAGGGAGGAGAGGCUAAUGGUUAAUACCCAUUAGAUUAGACGUUACCUGCAGAAUAAGCACCGGCUAACUCUGUGCCAGCAGCCGCGGUAAUACAGAGGGUGCGAGCGUUAAUCGGAAUUACUGGGCGUAAAGCGAGUGUAGGUGGCUCAUUAAGUCACAUGUGAAAUCCCCGGGCUUAACCUGGGAACUGCAUGUGAUACUGGUGGUGCUAGAAUAUGUGAGAGGGAAGUAGAAUUCCCAGGUGUAGCGGUGAAAUGCGUAGAGAUCUGGAGGAAUACCGAUGGCGAAGGCAGCUUCCUGGCAUAAUAUUGACACUGAGAUUCGAAAGCGUGGGUAGCAAAACAGGAUUAGAUACCCUGGUAGUCCACGCCGUAAACGAUGUCUACUAGCCGUUGGGGUCCUUGAGACUUUAGUGGCGCAGUUAACGCGAUAAGUAGACCGCCUGGGGAGU
This 537-nucleotide ribosomal RNA is filed under the name uncultured bacterium. Its description in RNAcentral is "partial 16S ribosomal RNA". It matches the Rfam family "Bacterial small subunit ribosomal RNA", at positions 355 to 881 of the family's 1533-position model. The record is from RNAcentral.